GAUGUUAUUGCUUAUACUUGCAUGCUAGUAGCUCAAUAUAUCUUGCUUGGUUGGUUCAUGAUCUAGUAUGCAUGAUGAUUAUUUGAUAAAAACCUAGACCCUAUAUAAGAUGAUUAAUGCUUAUGUUGCUAAAGAACUAGUAUGAUGUAACUAGUGUUGAUGAUGAGUCUAAAUGACGAGUGGCAUCUAGUUAGAAAACUAUGAUGAGUGGCAUAUGAUUGUUGAUGACCUUGAUAUGAGAAUAUUAGUGUAGUUGAAACACUAUGAGAUUGG
RNAcentral lists this long non-coding RNA (273 nucleotides) under Ananas comosus (pineapple). Its description in RNAcentral is "long non-coding RNA (ACOM_LNC007232)". The record is from RNAcentral. Lineage: Eukaryota; Viridiplantae; Streptophyta; Magnoliopsida; Poales; Bromeliaceae.